Molecule: unclassified non-coding RNA, 258 nt
Filed under: uncultured Actinomycetes bacterium
Lineage: Bacteria; Bacillati; Actinomycetota; Actinomycetes
Description: uncultured actinobacterium contains 16S-23S intergenic spacer region
Source: RNAcentral
UCCGGUUUGGCACCGGCAGUCUCCCACGAGUCGCCGACCCUUUCGGGCGACUACUGCCAACAUGUCAAACCCCGGUAAGGUUCUUCGCUUUGCAUCGAAUUAAGCCACGCGCUCCGCCGCUUGUGCGGGCCCCCGUCAAUUCCUUUGAGUUUUAGCCUUGCGGCCGUACUCCCCAGGCGGGGUGCUUAAUGCGUUAGCUGCGGCACGGAAGUCUUGCGACCCCCACACCUAGCACCCACCGUUUACGGCUAGGACUAC